CAGAGAGAGAGAGGAAAAACGGAGAAGGGAAAAGAGGGAGGAGGAAGGAGACGGCGCUGACGGAGCUAGCAGCCACCGUCGCAAUUGAUGCUCGCAAAGAAGAGAGAGAGAGUGAGGGCGACCGAGCUGAGAAGAAGCAGAGAGUGAGAAGACGCGAAGAGGAGGAGCCGUCCCACACCGCCAUUGCAUCGCCGUCACUAUCACGCGAUGGAGGAGGAAGCCGUUGCCGUCGCCAUCGGGAAUAGCCUGGAGGAAGAGCCUGCACCAUCAACAAUGCCUCAUCUCUACCUCUCCUUCGCACUCACAUUUACCAGCGCCGUCCUGUUUUGCGUCGCCGUUCGGGUUCGUCAUCUCCUAUACGUCAUCAUCGGUUCCUACUCUGUCAUCCACGGUCGUCCUCGUCUGCGUCAUCGCUAUUCGUGCUCGUUUGCCAUCGCAUCCUUUGUGUCACCGUUCCUGCUCAUGCUGCUCCUCUGCUUCUGCUACCCUCGUCCCUGGUCCUCUGUCUCUGUUACCCUAGUUCAUCUCGGCCAUUCUCCUUCCUCCACGGUGGUGCAUCUCUGCUGCUCGUCCCUUGGUUGCUGGUUUUUUAUCUGCUGAUGGACCCUUGUCCCAUUACAAAACAAGCUUUAAUAAUUUCUUUGCAGCUUGAACAAAGUAAAUUUGAGGAGAAGAAGAAACUUGAAAAUUAGGAUUUUUUUCAGAAUCCAGAUAUGUGAAUUGGAAGAAUAAGGAGCAUACUUACCUAAGUUUUGUCGAUUGCCAAUCUAGAGCUUUUCAGGAAUUGAGAGCUAUAAUGAAGUCUGUCAAAAAUGAAGUGUUAAAAACAAAAAGAAGCUACUAAGAGGAUUUCAAGUACUUUGCAUGUGCUGAGCUUUCAAAUAUUUAAGUGGCUGAAACAAAAGUUUUUGAGCGUUGAGAAGAAAGAAUAGCAAUACCAGACACAAUCUAUCCUGGCAGAGUUUAAAUUGUAUUGCUCUCACGCCUAUGGAACAAUUUUGUUAAUAGUGUCUUCUUAGUGUUAGUGUAUAUAUCACUCUAUAAAACUAAGAUUGAGACAAGUGUAUUCUCUCAACUAUAUUGAUAUG
This is a long non-coding RNA of Arachis duranensis, 1088 nucleotides long. RefSeq lists it as uncharacterized. The transcript has 4 exons. NCBI's taxonomy places the organism in Eukaryota, Viridiplantae, Streptophyta, Magnoliopsida, Fabales, Fabaceae. The record is from RefSeq and is a predicted model, not a curated record.